RNAcentral lists this long non-coding RNA (3242 nucleotides) under Physcomitrium patens. Its description in RNAcentral is "long non-coding RNA (PPAT_LNC011403)". The record is from RNAcentral. Lineage: Eukaryota; Viridiplantae; Streptophyta; Bryopsida; Funariales; Funariaceae.
UGUGGUAUGAGAUAAUUCUUCCCAUGCCAACCCUUUCCUUAUAUACUGGUACCAAGGUACCAAAAGCUACAAUCCAUAUGGGAUAUCUCCUAGGACCAGCCCUCCCCUUGUACUCUAAUGUACUAUAGACCAGCACCCUACCUUAUGGGAUAUCCUUAACAACACUUGUACUCUAAUGACCAUUAGCAACUACUUAAAGAGUUCUAUUCUCAACACUCCCACUUUGCUAUUGGUCAAUUAGCUAUCAAUCCUAAUGCCUUACUCAACUUGUUGUGUCCUUCUCUAACUAAGGCUUUUGUCAACAAAUCAGCCAUCAUGUCUUUGGUUUCACAAUACAUCAUAUCAAUAACCUCCAUCUCUAUCUUCUCUCUUAUGAAAUGAUGCUCAAUAUCAAUGUACUUAGUUCUUGCAUGAUGCUUUGGAUUCUUUCCAAAAGCAAGACAUCCUUGAUUGUCACACCUCAAUGGAGUAGCUUCAAAUUGCACAAGUCCAAUAUCUUCCAAUAACAACCUCAACCAAAUUGCCUCCAUUGCUUUAUGACUUGCUGCCAAAUACUCCGCCCCUAUUGUGGACCUUGCAAUGUUUGGUUGUCUAUUGCUAUUCAAAGAUAUGGCUCCCACUCAAACAAAGAAUACAUAGCCCAUUGUUGACCUUCAAUCGUUUACAUCUCUCUUAGUUCUAAGCACCCACUUACAUCCAAUUGUUGUGGAAAGAUGUGGUUCUUUCACCAUUCACCUUGUGGUCUUCUCUCACGUGUUGGAUAUCUUCUUUCAUGCAAAGAAGAUGAGCCUUCUUGCACCUCUUGCUGCCUUGUAUGACUCAUGGAGUGCUUUCUCUUACUCAUUUGUUGGUAUUCUUCAUCUUCAUUCUCUUCAUUGUCCUUGUUGUAUCUUGCUGGAAUUGAAGUCUUCAUAGUAUUGGGCUCUUCUAUCAUGGCAUCUUCCUCUUCUUCUUCACUUUGAGAAUGCUCUUCUUCAUCUUCUUGUUUGUUUGCUAGAAUUGAAGAUGUGUCCACAAACACACCACUACUCCCACUUGGACACAUCUCUCACUUUUCACUACCACUCAUAGAUGGUGUCCUCAUGGAUCCACAAACAUUCGAAUGCACAAGCUCCAGCAAUUGGUUUGCUCUUGUUGAAACUCCUCUAGGAAAUGGUGUCCUAUGUUGUUUGCCUUGAAUGCAUCCCUCACAAGCAAGAUUCAUCGUAGAAUGGCCAAGGUCUAUGCCAUUUACCUUGGAUUGAAGCCCUUUCAUGCUUUUGGCAUUCAAAUGCCCAAGUCUUUGAUGCCAAAUGCCCAUCUUCUCUUCAUUUGAUGGAAAUUCAGCAAAGGCAGCAACCUCCACUCCAUUGAUCCUCUUGCAAUUGAUAAUAUAGAGAUUGCCAUUCCUAGUCCCUUUUGCUACUUCUUUGCCUUCCAUGGUUCUCACAAAACAUCCAUUCAUAUUAAAUUGCACUUUGUAUCCAUGAGUUACAAGUUUACUCACCGAAAGGAGGUUCUUCUUCAUCUUUGGCACAUGCAACACAUCCUUGAGAGUGAUUCUCUUGCUUAUGCCCUUCACCACCACCUCCACUACAAUGGUGCCUAUUCCAAUGGCUUGUACCAUACAAUUAUCACCUAACCAAACGUUGGUUGCUUGAAUUGGUUGAUAAGUGUUAAAUGAACACUUGUAUGGAGUCAUGUGUUUGGUACAUCCGGAAUCCACAAUCCAUUUGCUCAUAUCAAACAUGGAAGGAGUUUGUUUUGCCAUGAAUGCAAAGUCUUCACCUCCAUGAUCAUGAAAAGCAUUGUUGGCAUUCUCUCUUUCUCCUCUCUUUGCCUUGAAACAAUUUCUAGCAAAAUGGCCUGGUUUUCUACAAAUGUAACAAGUUUUAGGAGGAUAACGUUGAAAAGGGGCACUUGCCUUACUUGGUCUUGUAAAUAGUGCUGAUUGCUCCCCAAUAGACUCCUUUUGCUUUCUUUUGGUCACUUCAUGGGCUAGUCUUGCCGUGACAUAGUCCAAAAUGAGGUCUUUCUUUGAAAUGGACUCCAAUGCCACAAUGAGGGAGGAAUAGGAGUCCGGAAGGCUUGAGAGCAAUGUCAUCACAACAUCUUCUUCAAGUAAAGGCUUGUCAACAACAGCAAGUUGGUUUGCAAGUGCCUUUACCUUAUUUACAUGAGCCAUGAGAUCUUCACCUUCUUCCAUCUUCACGGUGAAGAACUUUUGCCUUGACCAUAGCACAUUGGAAAGAUUCCUACUCUCAUAGACAUUGCAAAGAGUCUUCCAUGCAUCUGCUGCUCCUUUGCAAGAAAUGACAUGAGCAAAGUUGGUUUCAUCUAAGUUGGUGGCAAUUAUGCCAAAAGCCUUCUUCUCUCGUCUUUUGAAGUCCUUUUGCUCCUUCAUGCUUGCCUCUAAUCCAGGUGCCUCUUCCUCCUCACAUACUAUCUCCCAAAGAUCCAAUGAUGCCAAAAGUAGCUCCAUUUUGGCCUUCCAGUGGUGAAAGUUGUCACCUCUAAACUUUUCUACCAUUCUUAAGCUAUCACUCUCAAAAGAUGCCAUCUCAAGCUACAAGUAGGUCCAAAAAUCUCUUGAUUUGGAGUUGUAAUGCAAAAGAUAUGACUACUCAAAGAUUGCUGAACUACAAACUCAGAAUUCGCUGUUUUGCAACUUUUUGCAUACUUUGAGUCCAAAUCACGUCUAAAUGGUGGGAAAUGCUAUGUCAUGUAAUUCUAUGGCUUUCAAACAUCUCCCUCACAUCAUCUCACUCAAAAUGACUCAAUUUCUCAUAAAACUCUCAAAUACUAGUGUUACUUCAGCAAAGACACUAUCAAGGUCUUGCACUAACCUCAUACACUCACAAAUCCAGGAGUAAUGACUUCAACAAAAUACUAGUAAUACUAUACCAUAAGAUCUCAACCACCAAACAAACAACAAAGAAAAUAAAAUGCAAGAACAAUUUACUUGGUAAGAGAAUGUGGGCCCAUAACUUAUUGAAACAUAGAAAGCAUACUCUACACAAGUAAGUUAGGACCAGCAAGAUUGCACUAUAACAAAUAGAGUGUGGUAUGAGAUAAUUCUUCCCAUGCCAACCCUUUCCUUAUAUACUGGUACCAAGGUACCAAAAGCUACAAUCCAUAUGGAAUAUCUCCUAGGACCAGCCCUCCCCUUGUACUCUAAUGUACUAUAGACCAGCACCCUACCUUAUGGGAUAUCCUUAACAACACUUGUACUCUAAUGACCAUUAGCAACUACUUAAAGAGUU